RNAcentral lists this ribosomal RNA (789 nucleotides) under Methanoculleus sp. enrichment culture clone A5_15. RNAcentral's name for it is "bacterial SSU rRNA". It matches the Rfam family "Archaeal small subunit ribosomal RNA", at positions 85 to 879 of the family's 1478-position model. Lineage: Archaea; Methanobacteriati; Methanobacteriota; Methanomicrobia; Methanomicrobiales; Methanomicrobiaceae. The record is from RNAcentral.
ACUGCUCAGUAACACGUGGAUAACCUGCCCUAAGGAAGGGGAUAACCUCGGGAAACUGAGGAUAAUACCCUAUAGGUUACAGAUGCUGGAAUGCCCUGUAACCGAAAGCUCCGGCGCCUUAGGAUGGAUCUGCGGCCGAUUAGGUUGUUGUUGGGGUAACGGCCCAACAAGCCGAUAAUCGGUACGGGUUGUGGGAGCAAGAGCCCGGAGUUGGAUUCUGAGACACGAAUCCAGGCCCUACGGGGCGCAGCAGGCGCGAAAACUUUACAAUGCGGGAAACCGUGAUAAGGGAACCCCGAGUGCCUGUAUAUGCAGGCUGUCCAGGUGUCUAAAAAACACCUGAAGAAAGGGCCGGGCAAGACCGGCGCCAGCCGCCGCGGUAAUACCGGCGGCUCGAGUGGUGGCCACUUUUAUUGGGCUUAAAGCGUUCGUAGCUGGGUUGUUAAGUCUCUUGGGAAAUCUGACGGCUUAACCGUCAGGCGUCUAAGAGAUACUGGCAAUCUUGGAACCGGGAGAGGUGAGGGGUACUUCGGGGGUAGGAGUGAAAUCCUGUAAUCCUCGAGGGACCACCUGUGGCGAAGGCGCCUCACCAGAACGGCUUCGACAGUGAGGGACGAAAGCUGGGGGAGCAAACCGGAUUAGAUACCCGGGUAGUCCCAGCCGUAAACGAUGCGCGUUAGGUGUAUCGGUGACCACGAGUCACCGAGGUGCCGAAGGGAAACUGUGAAACGUGCCGCCUGGGAAGUACGGUCGCAAGGCUGAAACUUAAAGGAAUUGGCGGGGGAGCAC